AAAAUAAAAAUAAAAACAUUUAAAAAAAUUAAAAAACAAAACAAAACAGAGAUUCUUGAGCUCCUAAGGGCCCUCUGGCUGCCCAAGGCGCUAGCUAUCAUCCGUUGUCCAGGCCACCAAAAAGCAGACACACCAGUAGCCAGGGGAAACCGGCUAGCCGACCCAACAGCAAAGGAAGCGGCCCUUUCGGUGACCCAGGUUUUAACAACCACGCUACCCGAUCCGGGGGCACCGACCCUGCCGGACACCCCCAACUAUACUGACACUGACUUAACAACGGAUUAAACGCUUGCCUAUGACCCAAUGCUUGCAUGGCUGGUGGAGGGCCGCAGACUCCAGCAUCAUCCUGCCAGAGGAACUAGGACGACAAGUCCUAUCCAAAAUGCAUCGGAGUACUCAUGGGAACAAGAAAGAUGGAAGACCUCAUACGACAUGCUAAGAUCAUUAUUAAGGACUCUUGUGCAAAGAUUGAGCAGAUCGUGGCAAGCUGUCAUGCAUGCCAGCUAACCAACGCCACCACCCAUGGGUCUAACCCCGGAACCCGACUCAGGGGAGACCACCCAGGAACAUACUGGGAAGUAGAUUUCACUGAGGUAAGGUCUGGAAAGUAUGGGUACAAGUACCUGCUAGUUUUCGUAGAUACCUUUUCAGGGUGGACAGAGGCAUUCCCCACCAAGCAUGAAACAGCACAAAUCGUGACCAAAAAGCUGCUGGAGGACAUUCUGCCAAGGCGAUUGGGUGUACGUGCGGAGGCACCAACAGCAGACACUCCAACCUCACUGGAAAGGACCCUACAUUGUGAUCGUGACCACGCCCACCGCUCUCAAGGUCGAUGGAAUAACUUCUUGGGUCCACUACACCCACGUCUGGCCAGCUGAUCCACACGCCGUCCUCAAGGACUUUGUUCCAGAAUGGAAGAGUCAGCCCAACAAGGACAAUCCCUUAAAGCUAAGGCUGUGUCGUUCCCACUUACCCCGCUAAUAUUACUUGCGCUGUAUCCCCUCGUGGCUAAACCCAACCCAACCCCCACUAACCACUUAAUCUAACCUGGCAAAUCAUCACCCCAAGCUCUAAUCAGGUAGUAACCCAGCUGUCAGAGCUACACCCUAGAGGGACCUGGUGGCCUAAUCUGACUAUCGACUUGUGUGAACUAUUCAGUCAGGACCCCUGGCACCAAGGCAGAAUAGGAAUACCAGGAUGUGGCACCGAGAGGGCCGAGACGGCUCUCCGAGAUACCUGUUUUUACGUGUGUCCGGCCCUCUUUCAGUCUGACAUAAUAAGGCCUCCAAAUGCGGUGGCUGGAUGGACUACUUCUGCAAAACAUAGGGUUGCAAACAAACUGGGACAUGCAAUUGGCUGUCACAAAACCCAUUGGGCCUCAUAAAAAUCCAACUGAAUACUACGCACCCCUCAUGCUCGGAAUGCCCUUACUGUAAUCCAGUCACCAUUUCCUUCACGGAGACUGGGAAACAAGAAACAAAUUGGGGGGUAGGACUUCCGUGGGGACUCCAGCUUCACCAAAGCAGGUAUGAUAACAGAGUCCUAUUCAUGAUCAGACAACUAGAGAAACCGAAAAGUCGGACCCAAGGGAUAGGUCCCAACACUGUGCUAGUGCCUCCUCAACCUCAGGCAACACCUGCAGCACCCCCUCUGAAUCUUGCCCACAACAUCUCCAGUGGGGGCACCCCAGUCCUGACUCUCCUCUCCCCUCUCCUCCCCCUCGACCCUUCUCAGCACCCUCUUUGCGCCCUGAUGUCCAAGGCUUACAAAUUCCUCAACACAACUAAGCCCAAUCUUAACCUGAUCCUGCUGGCUGUGCAAUGACGUCCGCCCCCCCUUCUAUGAGGGUAUAGCAAUAAUGGGUCAAUAUAACACGACCAGGGACCCUAAUGGUUGCAGGUGGAACCAAAAGCCUGGUAGUAAAGGCCUCACCUUGCAGUCCGUGUUAGGUCAGGGACCCUGUAUAGGCACUCCUCCACGCCACCACCAGGCUCUGUGCAACGUUACACAGUCUAUAAAUAAUACAGGGUAUUAUCUACCACCCCAAGACAGUUGGUAGGCUUAUUCCGAGGGUUUAACUCCCUGCGCUCAUGGUCAGGUUAUAAACAGAACUGGGGGCUUCUGUGUGCUGGCUCAGCUACUCCCUAGAAUCAUCUACCAUUCAGAUGAGCAGGUACUUCAGUGGAAGAGCGCAGAUACCCACGGGCGAAAUAAAAGGGAGCCCAUCUCCGCUAUCACCAUCGCCUCCCUACUGGGAAUUGGAUUGGCUGGCGCAGGGACAGGUAUUGCCUCACUAGCCACCCAGGCCUCCCACUACAGUAGCCUUAGAGCUGCCAUCGAUAUAGACCUAGAACGCAAAGAAACCUCCAUUUCCCACCUCCAAGAAUCCCUAACGUCUUUGUCUGAACUGGUGCUCCAAAAUAGGAGGGGAUUAGACCCAGUUUUUCUACAACAAGGGGGAGUCUGCGCUGCCCUGAACGAAGAGUGCUGUUUCUACACUGACCACUCAGGGAUAGUAUGAGAACCAAUGGCUAAGGUAAGGGAAGGAUUAGCCAAGUGAAAAUGAGAGCGAGAGCAGCAACAGGGAUGGUUUGAAUCAUGGUUCAAUCAUUCCCCCUGGCUGACUACCUUAUUGUCCUCCCUAGCCGGCCCCCUAAUCAUCCUUCUCCUCCUUCUGACCUUUGGGCCCUGCCUCAUCAAUAGACUAGUGGCUUUUGUCAGGGACCGAGUCAAUACGGUUCAACUCAUGGUACUCAGGCAACAAUACCAACCACUGACUCUCUCGACAGAAACCCAGAACCCAUGAUUGGGUCCUACAUAGGAUCCUCUAGAAAAGGGGGGGAAUGUGGGACCCAAGGAAUUUAACAAAAAUCCCCUACCCCUGGACAAGCAGAGCAAGACUAACUCCAUUUUGUACUACACCCACCAUCUCAUGUAUAACCUCCACAUGACCUACUUAUUGCUUAAGACACUCCCCCACCCUAGUCAAUACAGAACCCCUAACCGUCAAAGAAUAUAAACCCCGCCUUUUGCCCACCAAACUUGCGCGCCAAUUCUGACCAGAGUGAUAGGCUAGUUCAAACAGUUACUAUAGGGUAAAUUGUAAUUCAAUUGGCCACCUGCGUGUGGACUGACAUGACUAUGCAACUUUCUGUGUGUGUUACAAUCUCAUUGGCCACUGGCCCCUAUAAAACUGCUAUGCCUCUUAACCUAGGGGUCCAAGUCCCUGCUCCGCUGUGUCAGGUAUACUUGGGCCCAAGCUCCAGCUUGCAAAUAAACCCUCGUGCAUUUGCAUCGG
Molecule: long non-coding RNA, 3298 nt
Organism: Neofelis nebulosa (Clouded leopard)
Lineage: Eukaryota; Metazoa; Chordata; Mammalia; Carnivora; Felidae
Exons: 2
Source: RefSeq, a predicted model, not a curated record